CCCCCCCCUCGUUUUCCCCUGUGCCCCCCUUUGCGGGGGGCGUUAACAAGCAGCCGUACAACAAUGGGGCGUGUCAUGUGUUGCGGGAUAUGCAUACGGGAUAUGGCCGUGCAUAUGCCUCUCUCGGACUCUGGCAAUCAGUUAAUGGAAUCUAAUAAACGUGCGCGUAUCUUUUGGCCACAUCUAAUCGCUGGCUGGGGCACGCGAGCCGAUGCCAGGCAGUAGCAGCAGCAGCAUACCGUAUAGGGUACCCUGUAAUUAAAUGCCAAAGAGGCGCAGGCGAAAGAGCAAGCGAAGAGACGAAAAACAGAAGCCAAACACUGCCAGACGUAACAGCGGCACCGAGGAGGCGUUUCACUUCACCAUGAAAUAUGUCAAAUUGGGAGUAAAAAACCACUAAAUAUACAGACAUACAGACGUAUAAAAUGGAAAACCAAAGAGUGGAAAGACAGGCUUUCAAUGAAGAUGCACAAUCACAAUCCAUAGAAGUAUCCCUACUCCAAGGCCCUACUUUAAGGCCAGGUGUUCAAAGAGCCGAUCGCCACGAGUUUCUCCAAUCUGUUAGAUAAGAUACUACAUCUCUGAUGCUGAGUCGUAAAAAGUACAAAAUAGUAAUAAAAAUACCCACGAUUGCAAUGUCAUUAUAGGACUCUAUACAUUCGUCAAUCUACAAAAACAUUGCCUUUUGGAAACCCCUCUAAAUUUUUGAUCCAAAAAUAUGGCUAAAUUUCAUAAAUUGGUUUCAUUGGUGCGUGAUGUGGGUUCCUUCUUGAGGCGCUUAAAUUUGAGCAUUGCUCGGCUGAUUUUCCUGGAGCUUCCCACGGCCACAAAGCAGUUUCGAAUGUGAUUCAUGAAUCAUGAAUGAAGACCCCACCAUAGACCAAACGGAUGAACAGCAGGAUCUCCACUUACCAGAAGACUUUGGCAGACACAUCUAAUAUGAUACCAAAAUAAAGGAAUUUUCUCAUCAAAUUA
Molecule: small RNA, 975 nt
Filed under: Drosophila pseudoobscura pseudoobscura
Lineage: Eukaryota; Metazoa; Arthropoda; Insecta; Diptera; Drosophilidae
Description: GA31631
Source: RNAcentral